RNAcentral lists this transfer RNA (53 nucleotides) under Trichuris sp. LO613. RNAcentral describes it as "tRNA-Thr". The record is from RNAcentral. Lineage: Eukaryota; Metazoa; Nematoda; Enoplea; Trichinellida; Trichuridae.
UGCUUUUAGUUUAAUUUAAAAUGUAGAUUUUGUAAAUCUAAGAUAAAAAGCAA